This 74-nucleotide transfer RNA is filed under the name Anaerolineae bacterium. RNAcentral's name for it is "tRNA-Ile". It matches the Rfam family "tRNA". From Rfam's summary of the family: Transfer RNA (tRNA) molecules are approximately 80 nucleotides in length. Their secondary structure includes four short double-helical elements and three loops (D, anti-codon, and T loops). The record is from RNAcentral. Lineage: Bacteria; Bacillati; Chloroflexota; Anaerolineae.
GGGCGAGUAGCUCAGUUGGUUAGAGCAUCCGGCUGAUAACCGGAAGGUCAUAGGUUCGAGUCCUAUUUCGCCCA